GGGAGUGUAGCUCAGUAGUUAGAGUCAAGCUCUAUCGAAACUGAGGUUGCGAGUUAAAAUCUCGUCGCUCCCG
This 73-nucleotide transfer RNA is filed under the name Symploca sp. SIO2E9. RNAcentral describes it as "tRNA-Asp". It matches the Rfam family "tRNA". From Rfam's summary of the family: Transfer RNA (tRNA) molecules are approximately 80 nucleotides in length. Their secondary structure includes four short double-helical elements and three loops (D, anti-codon, and T loops). Further hydrogen bonds mediate the characteristic L-shaped molecular structure. tRNAs have two regions of fundamental functional importance: the anti-codon, which is responsible for specific mRNA codon recognition, and the 3' end, to which the tRNAs corresponding amino acid is attached (by aminoacyl-tRNA synthetases). tRNAs cope with the degeneracy of the genetic code in two manners: having more than one tRNA (with a specific anti-codon) for a particular amino acid; and 'wobble' base-pairing, i.e. permitting non-standard base-pairing at the 3rd anti-codon position. The record is from RNAcentral. Lineage: Bacteria; Bacillati; Cyanobacteriota; Cyanophyceae; Coleofasciculales; Coleofasciculaceae.